AGAGUUUGAUCCUGGCUCAGAACGAACGCUGGCGGCGUGGAUUAGGCAUGCAAGUCGAACGGUAUCUUUCCGACGGAUCCUUCGGGUGAAGUUGGUUUGAGAGAGUGGCGAACGGGUGAGUAACACGUGGGCAACUUCCCCAAAGUUCGGGAUAGCCCGCCGAAAGGCGGGGUAAUACCGGAUGUGGUCGUACCGCGAUUGCGGAAUUGUCUAAAGGUGGGGAUUCUUCGGAACCUAUCGCUUUGGGAUGGGCCCGCGGCCUAUCAGCUUGUUGGUGAGGUAACGGCUCACCAAGGCAUAGACGGGUAGCUGGUCUGAGAGGAUGGUCAGCCACACUGGGACUGAGACACUGCCCAGACUCCUACGGGAGGCUGCAGCCGAGAAUCAUUCACAAUGCGCGAAAGCGUGAUGAUGCGACGCCGCGUGGAGGAUGACGGCCUUCGGGCUGUAAACUCCUGUCAUGAGGGAACAAGGAUGCCGGGGCCAUUACCCUUGGCAUUUGAUGGUACCUCAAGAGGAAGCCACGGCUAACUCUGUGCCAGCAGCCGCGGUAAUACAGAGGUGGCGAGCGUUGUUCGGAUUUACUGGGCGUAAAGGGUGCGUAGGCGGUUCUGUGUGUCAGAUGUGAAAUCUCACCGUCCAACGGUGAAACUGCAUUUGAAACUGCAGGACUAGAGUACAGGAGGGGAGAGCGGAAUUCUCGGUGUAGCGGUGAAAUGCGUAGAUAUCGAGAAGAACGCCGGUGGCGAAGGCGGCUCUCUGGACUGAUACUGACGCUGAGGCACGAAAGUUGGGGGAGCGAACAGGAUUAGAUACCCUGGUAGUCCCAACCGUAAACGGUGUGCACUUGGUGUGGGUGGGUUUGUCCCCAUCCGUGCCGGAGCUAACGCGUUAAGUGCACCGCCUGGGGAGUACGGUCGCAAGACUAAAACUCAAAGGAAUUGACGGGGGCCCGCACAAGCGGUGGAGCAUGUGGCUUAAUUCGAUGCAACGCGAAGAACCUUACCUGGGCUUGACAUCCAGCUGCUGUCCCGGUGAAAGUCGGGAGUCCUUCGAGGGUGCUGGACAGGUGCUGCAUGGCUGUCGUCAGCUCGUGCCGUGAGGUGUUGGGUUAAGUCCCGCAACGAGCGCAACCCCUGUGGUUAGUUGCCCCUUCAGUCGAAAGGCUGGAAGCACUCUAACCAGACUGCCUGUAAAAAGCAGGAGGAAGGUGGGGAUGACGUCAAGUCAGUAUGGUCCUUAUGCCCAGGGCUGCACACGUGCUACAAUGGGCGGUACAGAACGACGCGAAACCGCGAGGUGGAGCAAAUCGUCAAAGCCGUCCUCAGUUCGGAUUGGAGUCUGCAACUCGACUCCAUGAAGCCGGAAUCGCUAGUAAAGGCGUAUCAGCUACGACGCCUUGAAUACGUUCCCGGGCCUUGUACACACCGCCCGUCACAUCACGAAAGUCGACUGCACCCGAAGUCGCCGGGCCAAUCCGCUUGCGGAAGGCAGGUGCCGAAGGUGUGGUUGAUGAUUGGGGUGAAGUCGUAACAAGGUA
RNAcentral lists this ribosomal RNA (1540 nucleotides) under metagenome. RNAcentral's name for it is "bacterial SSU rRNA". It matches the Rfam family "Bacterial small subunit ribosomal RNA". The record is from RNAcentral.